Molecule: ribosomal RNA, 441 nt
Filed under: uncultured bacterium
Lineage: Bacteria
Description: partial 16S ribosomal RNA
Rfam family: Bacterial small subunit ribosomal RNA
Source: RNAcentral
CCUACGGGUGGCAGCAGUGGGGGAUAUUGCACAAUGGGGGGAACCCUGAUGCAGCGACGCCGCGUGGGUGAAGGAGCGUUUCGGCGCGUAAAGCCCUAUCGGCAGGGAAGAAGGAGGACGGUACCUGACUAAGAAGCCCCGGCUAACUACGUGCCAGCAGCCGCGGUAAUACGUAGGGGGCAAGCGUUAUCCGGAUUUACUGGGUGUAAAGGGGGCGCAGACGGCAGCGCAAGCCAGGAGUGAAAGCCCGGGGCCCAACCCCGGGACUGCCGUUGAAACUGCAUCCCUUGAGUGCGCGAGAAGUAUGCGGAAUGCGUGGUGUAGCGGUGAAAUGCAUAGAUAUCACGCAGAACUCCGAUUGCGAAGGCAGCAUACCGGCGCGCAACUGACGCUCAUGCACGAAAGCGUGGGUAUCGAACAGGAUUAGAUACCCCAGUAGUC